GAUGAGCGCUGGCGGCGUGCCUAAUACAUGCAAGUCGAGCGAACAGACGAGGAGCUUGCUCCGCUGACGUUAGCGGCGGGCGGGUGAGUAACACGUGGAUAACCCACUUAUAAGACUGGGAAAACUUCGGGAAACCGGAGAAAAUCCCGGAGAAUAUAUUGAACCAUAUGGUUGAAUAGUGAAAGACGGUGUUGGUGGCACGACUAGAGGGAUCCGCGCCGCAUUAGGUAGUUGGUAAGGUAACGGCUUACCAAGGCAACGAUGCGUAGCCGACCUGAGAGGGUGAUCGGCCACCCUGGAACUGAGACGCGGUCCAGACUCCUACGGGAGGCAGCAGUAUGGAAUCUUCCGCAAUGGUCGAAAGCUUUACGGAGCAACGCCGCGUGAGUGAUGAAGGUCUUCGGAUCGUAAAACUCUGUUAUUAGGGAAGAACAAAUGUGUAAGUAACUAUGCACGUCUUGACGGUACCUAAUCAGAAAGCCACGGCUAACUACGUG
RNAcentral lists this ribosomal RNA (497 nucleotides) under uncultured bacterium. Its description in RNAcentral is "partial 16S ribosomal RNA". It matches the Rfam family "Bacterial small subunit ribosomal RNA", at positions 28 to 507 of the family's 1533-position model. The record is from RNAcentral.